Molecule: ribosomal RNA, 1185 nt
Filed under: Salmonella enterica subsp. enterica serovar Enteritidis
Lineage: Bacteria; Pseudomonadati; Pseudomonadota; Gammaproteobacteria; Enterobacterales; Enterobacteriaceae
Description: partial 23S ribosomal RNA
Rfam family: Bacterial large subunit ribosomal RNA
Source: RNAcentral
GGGUUGUGAGGUUAAGCGACUAAGCGUACACGGUGGAUGCCCUGGCAGUCAGAGGCGAUGAAGGGCGUACUAAUCUGCGAUAAGCGCCGGUAAGGUGAUAUGAACCGUUAUAACCGGCGAUACCCGAAUGGGGAAACCCAGUGUGAUUCGUCACACUAUCAUUAACUGAAUCCAUAGGUUAAUGAGGCGAACCGGGGGAACUGAAACAUCUAAGUACCCCGAGGAAAAGAAAUCAACCGAGAUUCCCCCAGUAGCGGCGAGCGAACGGGGAGGAGCCCAGAGCCUGAAUCAGCAUGUGUGUUAGUGGAAGCGUCUGGAAAGGCGCGCGAUACAGGGUGACAGCCCCGUACACAAAAGCGCAUGUGCUGUGAGCUCGAUGAGUAGGGCGGGACACGUGGUAUCCUGUCUGAAUAUGGGGGGACCAUCCUCCAAGGCUAAAUACUCCUGACUGACCGAUAGUGAACCAGUACCGUGAGGGAAAGGCGAAAAGAACCCCGGCGAGGGGAGUGAAAAAGAACCUGAAACCGUGUACGUACAAGCAGUGGGAGCACCCUUUGGGUGUGACUGCGUACCUUUUGUAUAAUGGGUCAGCGACUUAUAUUCUGUAGCAAGGUUAACCGAAUAGGGGAGCCGGAGGGAAACCGAGUCUUAACCGGGCGUUAAGUUGCAGGGUAUAGACCCGAAACCCGGUGAUCUAGCCAUGGGCAGGUUGAAGGUUGGGUAACACUAACUGGAGGACCGAACCGACUAAUGUUGAAAAAUUAGCGGAUGACCUGUGGCUGGGGGUGAAAGGCCAAUCAAACCGGGAGAUAGCUGGUUCUCCCCGAAAGCUAUUUAGGUAGCGCCUCGUGAAUUCAUCUCCGGGGGUAGAGCACUGUUUCGGCUAGGGGGCCAUCCCGGCUUACCAACCCGAUGCAAACUGCGAAUACCGGAGAAUGUUAUCACGGGAGACACACGGCGGGUGCUAACGUCCGUCGUGAAGAGGGAAACAACCCAGACCGCCAGCUAAGGUCCCAAAGUCAUGGUUAAGUGGGAAACGAUGUGGGAAGGCCCAGACAGCCAGGAUGUUGGCUUAGAAGCAGCCAUCAUUUAAAGAAAGCGUAAUAGCUCACUGGUCGAGUCGGCCUGCGCGGAAGAUGUAACGGGGCUAAACCAUGCACCGAAGCUGCGGCAGCGACACUGUGU